RNAcentral lists this ribosomal RNA (118 nucleotides) under Periophthalmus magnuspinnatus. Lineage: Eukaryota; Metazoa; Chordata; Actinopteri; Gobiiformes; Gobiidae. The record is from RNAcentral.
UAAAGCGGACGUACCACCUUGAGAAAGCCCAAUCUCGUCAGAUCUUGGAACUAAACAUGAUUGGGCCUGGUUAGUACUCAGAUGGGGGUGGCAGUGGCUGUAGUGCGUGCUGCUGUUG